Molecule: long non-coding RNA, 962 nt
Filed under: Marmota monax (woodchuck)
Lineage: Eukaryota; Metazoa; Chordata; Mammalia; Rodentia; Sciuridae
Source: RNAcentral
GGUCGGGCUCCAAAUUCCUUAAUAGGACACCCAUAGCACAAGAGUUAAUAACAAGAAUCAACAAAUGGGACUUACUUAAACUAAAAAGUUUUUUUCUCAGCAAGAGAAACAAUAAGAGAGGUAAAUAGGGAGCCUACAUCAUGGGAACAAAUGUUUACUCCUCACACUUCAGAUAGAGCCCUAAUAUCCAGAUUAUACAAAGAACUCAAAAAAUUAGACAAUAAGUUAACAAAUAACCCAAUCAACAAAUGGGCCAAGGACCUGAACAGACACUUCUCAGAGGACGACAUACAAUCAAUCAACAAGUACAUGAAAAAAUGCUCACCAUCUCUAGCAGUCAGAGAAAUGCAAACCAAAACCACCCUAAGAUACCAUCUCACUCCAGUAAGAUUGGCAGCCAUUCUGAAGUCAAACAACAAGUGCUGGUGAGGAUGUGGGGAAAAGGGUACUCUUCUACAUUGCUGGUGGGACUGCAAAUUGGUGCGGCCAAUCUGGAAAGCAGUAUGGAGAUUCCUGGGAAAGCUGGGAAUGGAACCACCAUUUGACCCAGCUAUUGCCCUUCUCGGUCUAUUCCCUGAAGACCUUAAAAGAGCGUACUACAGGGAUACUGCCACAUCGAUGUUUAUAGCAGCACAAUUCACAAUAGCUAGACUGUGGAACCAACCCAGAUGCCCUUCAAUAGAUGAAUGGAUAAAAAAAUGUGGCAUUUAUACACCAUGGAGCACUAAAAAAUGACAAAAUCAUGGAAUUUGCAGGGAAAUGGAUGGCACUAGAGCAGAUCAUGCUAAUUGAAGCUAGCCAAUCCCUAAAAAACAAAUGCCAAAUGUCUUCUUUGAUAUAAUGAGAGCAACUCAGAACAGAACAGGGAGGAAGAGCAGGAGGAAAAGAUUAACAUUAAACAGAGACAUGAGGUGGGAGGGAAAGGGAGAGAAAAGGGAUAUUGCAUGGAAAUGGAAGGAGAC